UUGCAUAACCCCCCUACGACGCUUGCUGUUUAGAAAAAAGACGGACACUUCAUUCUGUCUCUGCGAGAUCUGCCGUGCUUCUUCUCCCCUCGCUCCCCGUCCCGACAACCGAUCCUUCUGCCCACCGAUCCGGCUCCUCGGCGAUGGUCGUCUGCAGAUGCCGCAAGGCGACGAGAGUUUAUUGCUUCGUCCACCAGGUUCCCGUCUGCGGCGAGUGCAUCUGCUUCCCGGAGCAUCAGUUGUGCGUGGUAAAAAACUAUGCUGAAUGGGUUGUUAAUUCUGAUUAUGACUGGCCACAACACUGCUCGUUUUGUAAUUCGGUUCUUGAAGCUGGAAAUGAAGAAACUACGCGAUUGGGUUGCCUCCAUGUGAUGCACACAAAAUGCUUCAUAUCACAUGUCCAAAGUUUUCCAACCCAAACAGCACCAGCAGGAUUUGUCUGCCCCUCAUGUUCCAUACCUAUAUGGCCUCCUUUGAGUAUUAAAGAUACCGGAUCUCGCCUUCACACUAAACUGAAGGAAGUAGUAGCCAAGACUGGAUUGGAGAAGAAUGUAUUUGGAAAUCAUUUUGUGACUGCAUCUAAAGCUGAUGUCGGCACCCCCCCUGCAUUUGCUUCAGAUCCCCUUAAGCGUCUAUCUGGUUCUAGUGAAUCUAAUGGUGCAAACACAGUUAACUCUUCGAAAGAUGCUACUUUAUCAUCAGUGGUACUCUCCAAUGAGGAUAAGCGUCCUGCUGGGAUGUACUCCUCUGGGACUCCUAGUCACGUGGAACCAGAAAUAGUUGAGAUAGAUGGACCUAGUCUCAUAACAACCCAGCUCCCAGAACAGGAGUCAAAUUUCAUCAGAAGUCCAAGCCCGCACGGGCCUGGUGCCACGACAAGGAAAGGUGCUAACUAUGUUGAGAGACAAAGUUCAGAGAUGUCCUAUUACGCUGAUGAUGAAGAUGCAAACCGCAAAAAGUAUACUAAAAGGGUUAACAGGUACAUUCCGUCACAAAUUUGUAAGGAUGCUACUACCUUUCUGGUCUAGUGCACUGCCAACAUUACCAGUCACAGCACCCUCUAAAAAAGAGAAUGAUGCUCCAGAAGGCCGCUCACGACAUCAGAGAUCAUCACGAAUCGAUCCCACAAAGAUCUUGCUUGCAAUGGCAAUCAUGGCAUGUGUAGCAACCAUGGGAAUUCUCUACUACCGUUUGUCACAGCGCAGUCUUUCUGAUAACUUUGCGGACGAUGAGGCUCAGUAGUGCUGUUUGUUUCUGGUACUGCCUUGCUGUUGUUCAAGGGUUUUGCCCUCCCUGUAUUAUUCUCCUUUUCUUAUUUCCGGCUUUCUGGGUGGUUGCCUGGUUGGGGCCUUUGGGGGUGGGAAGCUGGGGGUAGUUGUUAGUCACAUAAGAGUUAUAGUAGAUUCUUUUUUAUAUGCUGAUUCAUACUCAUGUUUUGUUACUAUGAUGUUAUAGUGUUAUAUGUUAUCUUACACCUGAUGGGAAAGCACACCUUCAGAAUUGCUAGAGGUGUUACAUUGGUCGACCCAAUUUACAGCUAUGUAAUUUUUCUAGUUUAUAUAUUAUAUAUUAUAUAUUAUUCA
Molecule: RNA transcript, 1583 nt
Organism: Lolium perenne
Lineage: Eukaryota; Viridiplantae; Streptophyta; Magnoliopsida; Poales; Poaceae
Source: RefSeq, a predicted model, not a curated record